AAAAGUGAGACUUUAUUGGUUACAUCAUUCCCAUGGUCACAAAGAGAGCCCAGCGGUUGCUCAGGAAACCCCAGGUUUCCACGGUGGAGCUUGACAAUGCCCUUCUUGUGUGGUGCAUACAUAGGGGCUUCUAGAACUUUCCAACCGCAAAUGCUGUAAUGGGCCUCCCUCAGCCAGCCCUGAGGGGUUUCCUCUGUGGAAGCCAAGGCCUCCAGCUGCACGAGGCUUCUGUGUUGCUGCGAAGGGGCAGGCCUGCUCCCCUCCUGUAGCAUACGCCUGGACAGCUGGUCACCUCUGUCCGAUGGCAGUGGCAGGAUAGGGGAUGAUAUCUAGUGGGGAACUUGCAACAGAAAGGCCAUUUGGCUUCUAGGCAAUGACUGUGUACAUGCCAGAGGAUCCUGUUUUCCAGGGACAUUCUGGCCUCAUGGAGGACACCAUGGCAGUGUCCACUCAUGGGCCGGCGGGGGAUUCUCACCUGGAACUUGCCUGCAAGGGCAGAAAGGAAGGCUUUGGGGCACGCAGCACCCGAGAUUGGGAUGGUGAUACGGUUGAUGAGCCAAUUCAAGUGCCCUCUUGCUUCACCCUGGCAUCCUCUAAAGGAAGUCCAGACAUUUUCUCAGCCACAGGGAACGUGUAAUAGAAGCUAUAAAUUGAGAAAGACCCCUGGGCUUAUCUGGAGGGACAGCAGAAAGUGGGGAACACUGCCAAGGGACAGAGAGAGAAGAGGCAACACCAGGAAGAAGAUAAAGCAGGUCAGACUCUAAGGCUCAGGCAGGAGCACCAGGGGACCUAGAUGCCUGUAGACCCCCACAGGAGUGUCAGAUCCACAAGGAAGGAAACUUGCACAUCUCGCUCACUGUACAGCGCAGGCGCAUAGCCGGUGUGCACUAACCAUCUGCUGACUGACAACUGAGGGCCGCAGAGACAAGUGGGAGUCAGACCGUCCUGGGAGGCAUCAUUAAGGAGCCCACCUCCUCCAGUUUGAUUCACUGCGAGUAGUACCGCAGCUUCAAAGUCUCCUGAAGCAGAUGUCCUCCACCCUGGCUGCCCAUCGAAGUCACACAGGGAACUCUAGGAAAAGAUACUGGUCCUUGGGACCCUUCCACAGAGAUAAGUAUUGACUAGGCUGCUGUGGGGCUGAGGGAUUUGGCAGUUUUUCAACUUCCUCCAGUGAUUUGAGUGUGCGGCUGGGGCUGAGAACCAUGAGUCUAAGGGGGAAGUGAGCUCUUUCAUUGCAUGUUCCAGCCUAUUAGGUGGAAGAAACUAUUCGGAAGUCCAUUCUUUCCACCUUGGAAAAUGAGGCGCCAUCUUGUAGAUCUUAUUUUUGGGUUCUUCCAACCAAUGGUCUUCUGUGGAAUUGAGUGCUGUGGGCUCGAGGAGGAACAAAGCCGGGGUGCCAGCUUUUCUUCCUUCUCUUGGAACAUCAGCUUGUGGGGGUGGGUGGGACUUCUGCAGGGUGGCUCAGCUGGGCUUGGGAGGGAAGCUUUGACUGCGCCCACGAGACCCUUAGAAAAAAGUCACCACGAGAUAUUAAAUGUCAUCACUUUCAAAUUGCCACGAUUACAUAUAUGUAACUUGGAAUAAUUUUAAAAGCCACUUGAAAGAUCCUCUGAAGAUGUGUGGACAGAGGAUUAUGCACAGAUAUGCACAUUGGAAACCAUCAACUUCUUCAGCAAGAAGGGAGGGAGGUUAUGACUGGUGAGGGAUGGAACGCAAUGGAGGGGAGAUCUGGUGACAGGGAGAUUAUGUAUAAUGUGAAGCCAAAGAUGUGUAAAAUUCAUACAUAAAAUACAUCUCAGCUGUAUAAAAUACAAAGAAAUAACCCAUGAUAAGAAUUGGAGUCUUUUGAGCCAGCCCUGAUGGCCCAGCGGUUAAAGUUAGGUGUGCUCUGAUUCGGCAUUCCUGGGCACAGAACCACACCACUUGUCUGUGAGUAGCCAUGCUGUGGCAGUGGCUCACGUAGAAGAACUAGAAAGACCUACAACUAGAAUAUACAACUAUGUACUGGGGCUUUGGGGAGGGGAGGAAAAAAAGAGAGGCAGCUCAGCAACAGAUAGCUCAGGGUGAUCUUUCCCAGAAAAAAAAAACCAAAAACAAAAACAGAAUUGCAGUCUUUUGAGCAUUAGUUCAUGGUAUUAGAUAUGAAUUAUUAUUUUUCUUUUUCCUACUUUAACCUUUCCUAUAUUUUGAUUAUUUUCAUAAUCAGAAAAGAAAUUAUAACAAAAAUGUGAAUUGAGUGGCAAGUUGCCUUUCUCCCUGGAGGUAGGAUCUCCACGUUUAACAAAUAAAAAAGAUAGGAUGCUCACUUACAUUUGAAUUUCAGAUAAAUGACUAAUUUUUAGUACAAGUAUAUCCCAAAUAUUGCAUGGGCCAUACUUAUACUAAAAAAGUAUUCAUUACUUAUCUGAAAUCAAAUUUAAUGAGGUAUCUUUUUAAUUUAUCUGUCAACCUUACCUGGAAGAGAAGGUGAGUGGGCCUACGCUAGGUGGGGGAAUUUCCAGUCAGGGCCCGAUUGCUUCCACGGUCCCCAGGACCAGGGCUGUGCUGUUCCCCCUGCCUGAGCCAUUGGAGGGCAUUAUCCUUUGCAAUAGCAGCAUUCUCUCCCAAGUCCUUGGAUCAGUCAUCUUCUUAUUUUUCUGGACUAAAAUACAGCUGCUUCAGUGUAUACAUCUAUUUCAUGCAAAUGGUAGCAAUAAUGUUUGUUUGUAUUGUGUGUUAAAAUUCUCACUGGGCAUCAUGUUCUUAAUCACAGUACAAAUUUGUCUCUCCGAUGGGUCACCCAACAUGUCAGCUUCUUGACCCACCUUCUCUAAGGUAAGGUCUAUGUUUAGUCCCAUUUUGUGGGUGAGGAAACUGAUGCUCAGAGAGAAGGACAGAAACUUGCUCAAGGUCACAUAGCUGGAGGAUGGCAGAGCUACUGCCCUUCCUCAAAUCUGGCACAAAGAAGCAUUUCUCUGCCUUGUGCUCCAUUGUGCCAUCACUGUAUCACUUUAGCUUCUGAAGCAACCUUGUAAGGUAACUAUUGGGUUAGGAAAGCUAAGGCCUCUUGAGUUGCCUUCCCAUCCCAGCAUGAUUCCAUUGGUCUCUUCUUAUCUUUCUUCCUCCUUCCCUCUCUCUCCCCCUCCCUCUCCCUCUCUUCUCCUUUCUC
Molecule: non-coding RNA, 3148 nt
Organism: Equus caballus (horse)
Lineage: Eukaryota; Metazoa; Chordata; Mammalia; Perissodactyla; Equidae
Source: RefSeq, a predicted model, not a curated record